RNAcentral lists this ribosomal RNA (230 nucleotides) under uncultured bacterium. Its description in RNAcentral is "partial 16S ribosomal RNA". It matches the Rfam family "Bacterial small subunit ribosomal RNA", at positions 562 to 791 of the family's 1533-position model. The record is from RNAcentral.
AAAGGGUGCGUAGGCGGCCUGUUAAGUCAGAGGUGAAAGACGGUAGCUCAACUAUCGCAGUGCCUUUGAUACUGAUGGGCUUGAAUGGACUAGAGGUAGGCGGAAUGAGACAAGUAGCGGUGAAAUGCAUAGAUAUGUCUCAGAACACCGAUUGCGAAGGCAGCUUACUAUGGUUUUAUUGACGCUGAGGCACGAAAGCGUGGGGAUCAAACAGGAUUAGAUACCCCAGU